ACAACAUUUGGACCGUCAGUCUACCGAGCAAUACCAUCCGCAAGGUGGAAGAUCUUCCCUUCUGUCGU
This 68-nucleotide microRNA precursor is filed under the name Bombyx mori (domestic silkworm). Its description in RNAcentral is "mir-2774 microRNA precursor family". It matches the Rfam family "mir-2774 microRNA precursor family". The record is from Rfam by way of RNAcentral. Lineage: Eukaryota; Metazoa; Arthropoda; Insecta; Lepidoptera; Bombycidae.